RNAcentral lists this transfer RNA (89 nucleotides) under Bifidobacteriaceae bacterium MCC01958. RNAcentral describes it as "tRNA-Gly". The record is from RNAcentral. Lineage: Bacteria; Bacillati; Actinomycetota; Actinomycetes; Bifidobacteriales; Bifidobacteriaceae.
UAUCGACCUGGGCGAGGUGCGCUACCUCGGCUCCCAGCCGUGGCCGUUCCCCGCGUCCCUGAUGAUGGCGUUCAAGGCGCAGGCGUUGA